Long non-coding RNA from Nicotiana tabacum (common tobacco), 516 nucleotides. RefSeq lists it as uncharacterized. NCBI's taxonomy places the organism in Eukaryota, Viridiplantae, Streptophyta, Magnoliopsida, Solanales, Solanaceae. The record is from RefSeq and is a predicted model, not a curated record.
AAAAAUUAAAAGAUUCUCUCUGUUUUCCCAAAACAAAAUCCCCAGUUCUGCCCUAGUCUCUCCACAUCCACGCAUAGUCUUCUGCCUAGCUCUCUAUUGACAACUCAAAAUCUGUGUUUUCUCAAAACAAAGAUUGCGAAUUUGUUGGUUUGUGAAUCGCAGGUCUAUCCAGUUUUCAACCUCGCUCGUUUGCGAAUCCCAUGUAUGCCUGAUCUUCAGGGGCGGCCCUACCCUAAAGCAGAUUCUGAUGUUGGUCCCAAUAUCGGUUAGUGGAGACUCGCUCGGACUUUCUUACAUGGAGAGUUGAAGUAGAGUUGCACAGCGUUCGCAGUCCCUGAAGUCCCCUUCUUAUUUCUUGCAUUGAUAUUUCAUUCAAACAGUUGUAUUAUUAUUAUUUCAAAACUUGGUUGUAGUAUAUUAGUUUGUAGCUCAUGUAAAUAUGACACCAAAUUUAGGGAUUUGACUAGACGGCGUAUUGGAAAUUAUUAUAUCUAUUUUGAAGUUUUAUAUCUUUUA